Molecule: long non-coding RNA, 880 nt
Organism: Nyctereutes procyonoides (raccoon dog)
Lineage: Eukaryota; Metazoa; Chordata; Mammalia; Carnivora; Canidae
Exons: 3
Source: RefSeq, a predicted model, not a curated record
GCUGCGCCACCCGGGCUGCCCCUCUUUGUGUUCUUACAGCUCUUUUACGUCACGCGAGUACAGGACUCUCACAUGACAUCCUUGUGCGUUCCCGUCUACACGGAGUGCCCUGAGAAAGAGGCUUCUGUUCCACGGCUCAGGGCGGAGCGCGUUGACGGUGGUGUUCCUGGGGAAGGGCUAGGCCUUGCAACCGCUUAGACCUCCCUUGGAAUCCAGACCAGUCCUCUGAUUUUGCUGAGUGACCUUGGGCAGGUUGUUUGCUUUUGCAAUCCUCAGCCUUGUCCAUAAACACAAUGAUGUGGAUGAAGCUACGGACUGGGAGGCAGAGAGAGAGAGAGAAAAGAGGGAGAGAAGCAGAGGGAGAAGCAGGCUCCAUGCAGGAAGCCGGACAGGAGACUCGAUCCCUGGACUCCAGGAUCAUACCCUGAGCCGAAGAAGGCUUUCACUCAGUUUCCUGUGCAGCCUGUUCUGAUGAACUCACCACAGAGUCACUUUCACUAUCACUGGAUCCAUCAUAUUAAAAUAGUACUUCAGGGCUGGGUGAGACCUUGAGGAAGAAGAGAAGAGAAAGAAGAAUGAGCAGAAAGGAGAGGGGAGGGAGAGGCAAAAACCCUGAUGCUUGAUGGGAAAAAUUUAACUGGACUGCCCUGGAAGUAGACUCCGCUUACUUUUGGAUCAAACCCCGUGUUCUAUCUAGUGUAUUGACAGCUGGAGUAGAUUAUUAUUUUUUUAGACAUUUUUUCCUCUUUAUGACAAAGUUGUUUUUAGGAAUACUCAUGAAAUGAAGUAAAUAAUAAUGGCCAGGAAAAAUGUAAACAGUGAACGUUUUCUUUUAUUCAAUGUCAUAAUAUGUCAUGUCAGUAAAAGUAAAUAAAGUAAA